UGUGAGUGCGCCAUGUGCAUGCUUGGUACCUGUGGAGGCCAGAAGGGAACAUCAGGUCCCCUGGGACUGCAGUUACAGACACUUGCGAGCUGCCGUGUGAGCACUUAGGAUUGAACCCCAGUCCUCUGGAAGAGCAGCCAGUGCUCCUGACCGACGCUGUGGUAGCAGCAGCACCGACGUGCCCAGGUGAAUGGAGAACAUCACGAUUGGCUCCGUGUGGACCGCUCGGUUUGGCCUGGGAUCAUGGACGUCUCCAAACCAGCCACGGUGCAGCUCUGCGCAGCUCAGAAGGUGUCCCGAAGCCCCGAGUUGACCCUAACCCACCCUGCACCAUCCGGAAGACACUGUGGAGCUCUGCGCCAAGCACAAAGCACUCGGCGGUUUCGUACUCUGAAAAAGGCGCUGCACGGCUCUGCCUGUGGGUAAGGCUCUCUGCAUCUCGGCACCCGGCACAGGGUGAGCCGAGACCGGUAAGAUGCCCCAUAGCUCUGUCUGUAGGCGAGAUCUAGCUCCGCCCGGCGAGGCAUGGCUCAGGAGUGACUCUCAUGGCAGGGAGUUAACCCCACCUGAAGCACGGGAGCUGGAAGCCAGGGGUGUAAUAGCUGCCCAGGUAAAGAGUGGGCUGCUGGGGAUUGACUAGAGGGGGCAUGAACUGCUCCUGGCAGAGGACCCGAGUUCAGUGCCCAGCAGCUCACAACCACCUGUAACUCCUCCGUGGAUAUCUGCUGUUAUGUGCACACCUACACCCACAAUUAAAAAAGGAGUGAGAAGGGAUCUUUCUUAAAAGGGGGAUUGGAGACGGAGCAGGGAAACUAUGCCAUCAAUAGGGGACAGGUGGACGCCAACGGAUUCCUCUGGUCUGGCUCUGGGUUAAGGCAUCCAGGUGCUGCUGCCCAACACCAAGGAAGUAGGCGUUUCCUCAGCAGCACCCACCCUUAGCUCACUCCUCCAGGACCUAAUGUCCUGUUAUUACCAUGUAAUCUGGGUUCCCAGAUUCCCUCAGAGUCAACUGCCUGGCCUCUGAGUGCACCAUGUCUCGAGGGCAAGGGACCACAGCUCUGGCCCCUCUGGUAUUGCAGAAAUACUUGCUUCGAGGAAGUGAAUUGUCUGCAGGCGUUUAGAGUGCUGUACCUUUCAGGCCACCUCAGCACUGGGUUUGGUUUGUUCCUUCGUUUUCCUUUUGGCCGCUCAGAAUCGCAGCCUUCUUCCUGGGAGGCCAGAAUUGCUGUGUCCUGUCACUUAUCACAGAGAAGGGCAUAGGACAGGCUCUGCCAGUCAAACCCAAGGGCUGGCACAUGAGCUGGCAGGCCACAAAAGCCAGGACCGCAGAGAGUCCUCCAUGGAAGGCGCUAUCAAGUUCCUGACAGAGCCUGAUCUGCAAUCCGACCUGGAGCCAUGGUCAGCCCUACCCAGAGACUCUCCGAGUUUCUUGGUUGUCUUAUUGUUUUCAUGCUUGCUGUCAGUCUACUUAAUUAAGAGGCAUUUUUCAGGACUCGGAGCAUAGGUCAGUGGCAGAGCACGUCCCUCGCACGCUCAAAUCCCUGGGUCGGGUGACAUGAAGCUAGGAGCACUGACUGUUACAGUCCCAAGGAAGGAUGGCUGAGCAGACCCUCUGCUCUCAGCUCAGGCUUAGCGCCUAGCUCUGAGCCUAUGCAAUUUAUUUUCUGAAUCGAGACAGGAGCAAGGUUGGGAACCCACCGCUGGGAGUCUCGGCGAGGAGAAUGUACUCGCAAGCGGAGCUACCUCAGGCUGGAAGUGUCUGUCACUGGAGGCACGUGAGCAGAUCCGGGGAGGCAGGCAGAAGAGGCUUUCAGGAUGGCUCCCGUUCCUUCUGGUGGCAUCUACUCAACCCUGGGAGACCCCAAUAAGCAGCUUCGGGUGAAAACCAAAUGCAGGGUGUGGCGAUGCACACCUGCCAUCCCAGCACUGGGGAGGCCGCCUUUGGACGAUCAGCCUCCACUACAUAAUAAGUCUGAGGCUAGCCUGGGCUACAGGAGCCUUGUAUCAGCAAGCGAAUCAAUAGGGCCAGCAAGACAGCUCAGUGGGAAAAAUGCCUAGUGCCAAGCAUGACAAUCAGAGUUUAAUCCACGGGGCUUAUGGGGUGGGAGGAGAGAAUCUACUUCAAGUUGUCCUCUGGUCUCUACAUGUGUGCACACUUGUGCACACAACAAGUAAAUAAAUAAGUAUAAGAAGACUUAAACAAAUACACAUACAGAGGGAUAAAGAACCAACGACAGAAACCCGGGAGGCAGAACCACGUCUCUGGUGCCACAGCUCUGAGUCCUUUCCAUCUCUUACAGCCUGGCCUGGGCCUGGGCCUGCCCCAUGACACAACUGCUGCUCAUCCCAUGUCCCAGGGCAAAGACUAUUGGCCUCCGUCACUUUAAUGAAAUAGCCCCUAGACCAGACAAAUACAAGCACAGACAUUUGCAACUAAUUACGGUAUUGCUGAUCCGUCAAAUUUCAUUGCGAAUUGCAUGUUGAAAUGGAGAGUGUAGAGUCAUGAAUAACCUGGUUGUCUGGGGAAGUGACACGGGCACACAGGACUAGAUAAAUAAUUCAAUUUACCCUCAGCCAGACACUCCGAGGAAACAGCAGAUUAGCAUGACCCGGAGAAUGCCUCUUCACCCCGGGGUAGCUGCUGCCGGAGUGCCUGGCUUCUGAGGGCUGCAGGGGCCUCCCUCCCACUCUGGGAGACCGCAGGGCGUUGAGUGUUCCAGGCCUUAAUUCUUGGUCUGUAAAUUGUAGCUAUGGGUUGUGCUGGGAGGGGAAGUUAGCCUGUGUUGCCAUUUGCUGCUGAGAAGCCCACUCAGGGACAGACAGCUCCCUUUUCUGAGUCCUGGGCCAGGGGGGUACACCUUCCUUGAAAGUCAGGUUGUAGAUCUGGGGGUGUGGUUCAGCUGGCAGAAUGUUUGUCUAAUGUACACACAACGCUGGGUUCACCCCCAACACUCCAUAAAAUGGGGGGGGGGGGUUGUGGCACAUGCCUGUAGUCUCAGCACUUGGGAGGUAGAGGCAGGAAGAUCAGGAAUUCAGGGUCAUCCUCAGCUAUACGUGAAACCCAGGGUUAGCCUGGGAUAUGAGAGUUCUUGUCUCAAAAAGAAAAAAAAAAAAAAAGGCUAAAUGUAUUGCUACAUGCCUUUACUUCUAACACUCAGUGACAGAGGCAGGUGGAUUUCUAUGAGUUCCAAGCCAGCCUGGUUUAUAUAAAGAGGUCUAGGCCAGCCAGAACUACAGAAUGAGGCCCUGUCUCAAAAUAAAUACAUUAGAUAAAUAAAUUUACUUAAAAAAAUUAAAAAUAAGACAGGUGAAGCCAUCAAACAAACAGAAAUCUGGUAGGUCCGGAGCCAGAGGUCUCCACCAGGACUUUCAUGGGUCCUAAAAACAAAGAAACUCAGAAAAGAGUUCACAUCAGCAUGACACGGAAGCCACAAGAUGGAAUGGCCAUGUCUUCAGGACUAAGCCCUCAGCAAUGUCCUCCUGGCAUGCCAUCACACCCCACAUCUGGGGAGGAAGCAGGAGGUGAGAUGUGGGUGUGCAAGUGUCAAUACGAACACACCUGUGUCUGUGAGACCUACCUACCGGAUGAGAGGUGCAGCUGCUGUGGCCCCCAAUCCUGGAGAACCUCACACCAAGCCUACUGGGCCAGCCCAGGGCGGGGAGGGCCCACUGGCAGCCAUGUUGGGUGAGCUGCUGUUGCAUUCUGGAUGUGGAACAGAGAGCUUGAGAAUGUCUGUGGGAAAGUGGGCCAGCUCUGGACUGGGAGAUUUGGCAAGCUGAGCCUGAUUGUUAGGGGUGGCUGUGAGUCAGCCUCAGGAGACAAUGGAAAUGAAAUUCAGAAAAAGGUUCGGGCUGCGAUGUGGGAUAUAUACACACGUAUAUAUCUGGAAGUUACUAACAGCUAAGUGAUGCUUAAAGCCAGGAGGAGGUUAUUGGGAUGGAGACAGUAGGUAGAGGCGAGAUAUCCAAGGGCUGUGCCUUGAAAAAGAACGGAUGUGGGCAAAAGGGGAGGAGAAGGGUGGAUUGCUAGCAGAGCCAAGGUGGAAAAAUGGAUGCCUCCCCCCCCCAUAUUUGUUUUUGAGACAGAGUCUCACUCUGCAGCACAGACAGGCAUGGAGCUCACUCUCAGAUCAGAGUGCCCUUGAACUCAAGACCCUCUUGUGUCAGCCACCCACCACGCCCCAAUGAAAGAUGAGAACUCUUUUUCUCUUGAAGAAACAUUUAUUUACUUGUGUGUGUGUGUGUGUGUGUGUGUGUGUGAUGCGUUUGGAGGUCAGAGGACAGCCUGUGAGGUUGGGUUUCCCUAUCCACCACACGGGUUCCAGGGAUUGAACUUAGACCAUCAAACUUGGCCUCAAGCGCCGUCCUGCUGGCCCAAGAUGAACUCUUGUGUGCUAAAGAGACAGAAGGAAGGGUAAGUCCAACGAUCGACCACGGAAUUUAAGGAUAUGGAGAGAGGAUACUUUGGUGGCAUUUUUUGGACUAGUGAGGGGUGGAGGGCCAGAUAGGAGUAGAUACAGUAGGGAAGGGAGAAGGGGAGGGCUUGAAGGAGGUCCAAAGGGUUAGCCCUUCCAGGAGUCCUGUCACAGAGGGGCGAGGAAAGAAGGAAGGUAUUUGACAGCCUAAGGUCAUGAGGAACUUUUCCUUUCAGGAAAAAAAAAAUCACAGGCUUUUUCUGUGUUGGUGGAAAUAAUCAGAGAGACAGGGAAGUAUGGUGAGGAGAGGGUGAGUGUUGGCAUGGAGCCCUGGAGAGGCAGGUGGUGUUCGUAUCUGGCACCCAACCGGAGUGGCACACGCCUGUCAUCCCAGAGCUCGGAAGAAAGAGCGCAGGGGGAGAAUCAGGAGUUCAAGGUUAGCCUUGGCUUCAUAGCAACUUCAAGGCUAGCCUGGGCUGCAUGAGACCACCACCACCACCACCACCUAAAAACAACAACAAAGAGAAAGAGAGAGAGAGAGAGAGAGAGAAGGAAACAAGAAACAGGGCUGCCCUGCCGUGGGACAGGGGUGGGUGCUGCCUCAGUGGGAGGAAAGGCAGAGCGGAUGGGCACAGAUGCAGGUGGGUGGGGAGCAGCAGAGCCAGGAGAACUUCUGCGCCAAGGGCUUCUAUUUUCUUAGCAAAAUCGGAAGAGGUUGUCAGCUGAGAGUGAGCUGGAGGAGGAGGUGUGAAGCAGUCGUCUAGGAGAGCGGGUGUGAAUAGACUUGAGGGAUGGAGUGGUGGCUGGGCAGUUGUGGUCCUCUGAGGGGGCCUGGGGGCUGAGCCUGCAGCUGGGGCAGGGGGUGGGGUGGGGGGAGAGCAUGCUGAGGCAUCUACGCCUCUAGGUCUGCAAAACAAAUAAGCAAUGAGGGAAUGGAGGCUGGUAGGCGAGGUAGGAGUUUCACCUUCAGCUCUGGUCCCCCGUGGGACCCGUGCGGGGAUCCGGGGCUGAAUUUACUAGGGCUGUGCCUUUGCCAGGUGACAGUGUACCGUAGCAAGAUCAAUAGGUAAUGUUAGGACACAGCCGCCAGGCUGGGGCAGGAGUGAAGUCGCACCCUGGGCAGGUGAGGGUAACAGAUAUUUGCUCUAAUCAAUGGAUUUCAGGGGGAAGGGUUGAGUUGGGGUACCGGGGCAGGGUGGGCUGCAGAGAAGGGAGAUGUCCAUGGGAGAGCGAGAUUCAUGAGAGGUGGAGGGAUCGCUGACUGAUAAGCACUCCUUGGAAGCCUGGCUGUAGGAGGGGAGAAGAGUGAAGAGGAGACAAGGGCAGGGAGGGAGGGUGAGGAAUGAGGGAGGGAGAAAGAGACAGAGACAGAGACAGAGACAGAGAGACUGAGAGAGAAAGAGAGAGAAAGAGAGAGAGAGACAGAGAGAGCUGUUUGUAUACCUGAAUGCUGGAAUCAAAAAUUGAAGGUAGUGGUGGCACAUGCCUUUAAUUCCAGCACUCAGGAGGCAGAGGCAGGCGGAUCUCUGUUGAGUUACAGGCCAGUCUGAUCCAUAUAGUGACUCCCAAGCCAGCUAGGACUAAUACUAAGACCCUGUUUCAAAACCAAAAAAAACCAAAACAAACAAUCACAACAACAGUCGUACCCCGGUACAGGCUGUACAGGCUCACAUACCUGUAGUCCCAGCAGUGGGAUGGGGGAGGGGGGACCACGCAAGGAGGGACGAGCUGUGGGGUAGGGGGUGGUCAAGAGGAUCAGGGCUUUAAGGCUACUCUCAGCCACAGAGUAAAUUUGAGGCUAGCCUGGGCUAAGAGAACCACUGUAUUCAACCACUGAUGACAUUCAACCAUUGAUCUUUCUCACUCUUUCUGGGGAUCAAACUCAGGGCUUCGAGCACAUGAGUCAACCUCAUCACCCCCUUACCAGUGAGCUAGCCCCUGCUCCUGGCAUCGCUAUCUUUUAAUUAGUUAUGUAUGUGUGGGAGUGCAGGUGCUUACGUGCCACUGAGUGAGGUCAGAGGGCAACUUUCUGAAGAUGGUUUUCUCACCUUCCACCUUUUGUUGCUGCCCUGAGGCUGGCAGGCCUGUUAGCUUCUGAGGAAUCUCCUGUCCCAGAUGGCCCCCAGGACUGAACGCACUCACACAGACGCUAUUAUCUGCUGAUCUCUCUAAGCAGGAGGAGAAACAGGAAGUGACACAAGAAAGCAGUGAGCUGGACCCGGUGGCCUCUGCCUGUAAUGGCAGUCCUGGGGACCCUGAGGCAGGAGGCUCUCAUGCAAGCUUGCAUUAGAUAAUGAGACCAUGUCUCAAAUUAAAACAAAACAAAACCCUGAAACCACUGAUUUCACAACAUGCUGGUACCUCCCUUUGUGGAAAAAGAAAAUCCUCAUAAUUGAACUUCCCCAAACCUAGACCCAAGGGCCACAUGGGCUACCAAAGGGGAACAGAUGUCCUUAAAGGCAGUUUCAUGUUGGAGCAGGAAAGUGAUGGGGAGAAUCAGAAAUGGGGGUGACAAUAUGGGAACGGGAGUCGUCUGAGAUUCAGAGAGCCACGAAAAGGGGGUGGUGAUGAGAAAUGAAGUCAGAGAAGGGCAGUGAGUCCCUGGGCUGAUAGAGGACAGAGAUUUCUUUCUUUCUUUCUUUCUUUCUUUCUUUCUUUCUUUCUUUCUUUCUUUCUUUCUUUCUUUCUUUCGAGACAGGGUUUCUCUGUAUAUCCCUGGCUGUCCUGGAUUCACUUUGUAGACCAGGCUGGCUUCAAACUCACAAAAAUCUGCCUGCCUCUGCCUCCCUAAGUGCUGGAUUAUAGGUGUGCACCACCAUGCCGGGGCUGAGGACAGAGGUUUUGAGUACUGUGUGGGGAUGGAUAUGGCCAGGACAAAAUACAAGGGCCAGAGGCGCAGGAUGGGGGCUGAGCAGAGAGGAGGGAUUUCCUUAGCUUGUGGAUGAAGGUGUGGGGUCUCAGAUGGAUCUUCCUAAGAGCAGAUGUGGCUCAGAUAGGGAAUUUAUUUAUUUUGGGGUGUGUGGGGUGAGGGUGGCUGGGAAUGAACCCAGAGCUAUGCUAAUCCCAUGUUCUACUUCUAAACUCACCACAGCGAAAGAGAAUUGUCCUGACACGAUACGAUCUUGCUUUAUCUGCGUACAAACGGAGUUUGCCCUCAAAAUCUAGAGGUAAAGGGUACAAUUUGGGACAGAUAGAGCAGGUGGAUUAAAAGCUAGUGUUCAGAUGAGGAUGCGGAUCAGCUGGUAGAACCCUUGACCUGCAUGCUCAAAGCCCUGGGAUGGAUUCUCAUCACUGUGUAAAACCAGGUGUGGUGCUAUAUAAUCUCAGCACUUGGGAGGUAGAGGGAGGAGAAUGAGUUCAAGGUCAUCCUUAAGAACGCAGCAAGUGUGAGGUCAGCCUGGGCUAUGUGAGACUCUGUCUCACAAUCAAAAACAGGGGCUGGAGGGAUGGCCCGGCAUCAGUCAAGAGCGUCGGCCCUUGCAGAGGAACAGUUUUCAAUCCCAGCAUCCACGCUCAGACCAGCUUGCAGCUCCAGCUCCAGGGGACCUGGCGCCCUCUUCUGGCUUCACCAGGCAUGCACGCGGUGUACAUACACACACGCUGGCAAAACACAGGUAUAAAUAAAAUUCCACAAAGCAUGUGGGAAUGCUGUAGAGAGCCGUUCAUAGGCAGCCCAUUGACUUUCAGCAGAAGCUGCUAAACCGUGGGCUGACCUUGCUCACGAACGAUGCCAGGGCGGUUUCUCAGCUUGGAGUACAAUUGACCCGCUCUCUUCCAACCCACAAGCUCCAGACCAGCCACCAACCUCCGUUUAUGAACCGAAACCGUCAAUCUUCUUAAAUAAAAUGCUAAGAACACAAACCAGAAGAACCGAUGGGCUGGAUUUCAUCAGAAUUAAAAACCGGGCUGACGCAAUGACUCAGAGGGUCAAGACACUUGGCAUCAAACCUGGUGGCCAGGGUUUGGUCCCCAGGACAUUCGCUGGGCAAUGAGACAACCAAGUUCUGCAUGCUGUCCUCUGACUUCCACAUUUAGGGUGUGACGAACUCACCAACCUCCUGCCCCGAGAGUAAAUAAAUGCAAAAUAUUUAAGAAUCACCCAGGAGAUGAGAUGCCCUCUUCUGACCUUCCUAGGUACCAGGUAUGCAUGUGGUCCACUCAGGUACAAACACACACUUAAAAAAAAAAAAAAAGGAUUAAAAGGACUGGGCAUGGUGACAUGGGAGCCCAGCACUCAAGAGGCAGAGAUGGAUGGAUCUCUGUGAGUUUGAUUUGAAGUAAGCCUGGUCUACAUAGUGAGUUCCAGGGCAACCAGGGCUACAGAGACUCUAUCUCAAACAAAACAAAACAAAAAAGAAUAAAUAAAUAUUAAAAAAUCAAUAUUCAGAAACUAUUAUAGCAGCCUGGAAUUCAUUCUCUCUCUCUGCCUCUCUGUCUUCCUCCCUCUCUCUCCCUCCCUCUCCUCCUUUUUUCUCUCUUUCCCUCUCUCUCUCCUCCCUCUCCCUCUCUCCCUCCCUCUCUCCCUCUGAGCCAUCUCUCCAGCCCCUAAAGACAGUCUUUAUAUGAUUAGGGAAGUUUUUUUCCACUUCUGGUUUGGCAAAAGACUUUUUAAAUUACUCACCCAUUUAAUCCAAUCAGUGCUGGGUUGUAGCGGGUGCUUUCUCUGCCUCCAUUGAGAUAACCAGCCGAGUUUUCUCCCUUUGAAGUCUGUCCUGAUCAGUUACACAGACUGCUUUCUGAACAUCAACCAAACCUUACAUUCCUAGACUGGAAUAUAAGUUGGUGGUCAUUCCUCUUAUGCCUGUAUGUCUGGCAAAUUCUGUUCAUUAAACUUAUUUGGGGAUUUCAUAGCUGUGUUCAUAAAUAAAACUGGCCUUUAAUUCUCUUAUUGAUUUUCAGAUUGGAGGUCAGGGUCAAUGCUGACCUCCAUAAGGUGACUUAAGAAUGCCUUCUGUUCCUCAGAUGGAAAUGCCUAAGCUUUCGGAAGUGUAAUCAUGGGAUAUUUUUUUUCCCCUUGAACAUUCAACACAACCCAAAGAUAAAGCUAUCUGAAUUUGUAGUUUUCUUCCUGGGAAGACUUUUUAUUUUAAAAAAUGGGUUUCAUGUAGCUAAGGCUGGCUUAAAACUUGCUGCCAAGCCAAUGAAAACCUUGAACUUCUGAUCCUCCUGCCUCCCCCUCCAGAGGCUGGGGUUGCAGGUGUGUGCCACCAGGCCUGUUUUAUGCAGUGCUGAGAAUCGAACCCACGGCCCCAUACAAGUCAAGCAAAGCACUCUACCACCUUUGAGCUAUCUAACUUUCCUCUCUUGUCUCUCUUUCUUCCUUUCUCCCUCUCUCCUCCCCUCCCAUCCUCCCUUCCUUCCCUUCUACCUUUUCCCUCUUCUCUUUCUUUUCUUUUCUUUCUUUUUUGAGAUGGACUCUAAAGUAGUCCAGGCUGGUCUCAAACUUUCUAUGUAGCUGAGACUGGCCUUGAAUUUGAAAGAAAUCACGUAGUUAUUUAGUGCAUGUGUAACGCAGUGCACACACCAGAGGACAGCCUGUAGGAAAGUCUAACCCCUCUCCCUCUUCCCACCACGAGAGGCCCAGAGGUCGGAUCCAGGCUUACAGGUGAGCACCGCUCACACUGAGCCAUCUUAAAGGCUCUGGCCUUGAGCCUUUGAUCCUCUGGAGUUUAUCUCCCACAUUCUCACAUGCUGGGAUUACGUGUGAGCACCACCAAACCCAGCUGACUGCAGAUUCAUAAUUGCUGUUUGAAUCUACAGGAUUUAUAGGAUAUUGUGGUUUUCCAUGUCUUCAUGAGUCAUUUGAUAAUUCGUUAUUUCUAGGAAUUUUCCAUUUCAUCUGAGCCUUUCAGAGCUGUUGACAUUAAGCUACGCAUCACAUCCUCUUGGUAUCUUGGCUUUAUUUUGCUUACGCUGUCUGGAUGGUAUGCGUGUGUUCAUGCCUGCACGUGUGUGCAUUUGUGAGAAUGAGCAUGUGUGCACAUGCAUGUGGAAAUCCGGAGGUCAACAUUGGGUGUCUUCCUUUCAUUCUACACCUUAUCUUUUGGGACAAGUCCUUUCAUUAAACCCUGCACUUCCCGAUCCAGCCGUCAUUGGUGCUGGGGUCCCAGCUCAGCUCAGUGCUUCCAGGCGAGCACGUUCCCCCGACAGCUCCACUCAGCAACUUUAAGAUGUACAUGGAAGCUCCUGGAGUGAGCUCUCCUUCAGUCCUCAGUGAUUUGUUCUUUGUGGUUGUUGCUGUUGUUGUUUUUAAGAGACAGGGUUUCUCUGUGUACCCCUGGCUGUCCUGGAACUAGCUCAGUCUGUCGGAAAUCUGCCUGCCUGUGCCUCCUGAGUGUGGGGAUUAAAGGUGCGAGCCACCAUUCCUGGCUUAGUUAUUUGUUUUUAGUUAAUAGUCUCAUCAGAGUUUUCUCAUUCUGAAGUCUUGCUGGGGGUUAAUUUUGUGGUCCAGUAGGUGUUUUUUUUUUUUUUGUUUGUUUGUUUGUUUGUUUGUUCGUUUUUUAAAACAAAGUCUCACUCUAGUUUUCCAGGCUGGCCUGCACCUCAUGAUGAUCUGGCUGGCCUCAAACUCCCUUGGGAUCACAGGCACAAGCCAUCACAUUCUGUGAAAGAGCACACUGAUUUCAGUACUCCCAAGGUUGUAGGUUUCAGUUCUCAGCACUGAUUUUUUUCUUCUUUUUUGUUUUUUUCUGAGAUAGGGCUUCUCUGUGUAGCCUUGGCUGUCCUGGACUCACUUUGUAGACCAGGCUGGCCUCGAACUCAGAGAUUCACCUUCCUCUGGGAUCACAGGCAUGCACCACCACACCCGGCUCUACUAAUCUUUUUAAAUUGAUGAUCAAAGUAUAGUAAUAAAAAAAAAAUUCUCUCUAUUA
Meriones unguiculatus (Mongolian gerbil) is the source of this 11287-nucleotide long non-coding RNA. RefSeq lists it as uncharacterized. The record is from RefSeq and is a predicted model, not a curated record. NCBI's taxonomy places the organism in Eukaryota, Metazoa, Chordata, Mammalia, Rodentia, Muridae. The transcript is spliced from 2 exons.